This is a long non-coding RNA of Aricia agestis (brown argus), 259 nucleotides long. RefSeq lists it as uncharacterized. The transcript is spliced from 2 exons. NCBI's taxonomy places the organism in Eukaryota, Metazoa, Arthropoda, Insecta, Lepidoptera, Lycaenidae. The record is from RefSeq and is a predicted model, not a curated record.
GGCUGCUGCGGGAGGACGCCGUGUACGUGGGCGCCGUCGCCGUCGUGCUCGCGCUCGUCAUGGUACGUCACGUGUAGUGUAGCUCCCGCCGCCGCGACCAUGAUGUACGUGGAGGGCUGCCACACGCGCUCCGUGCGGCUGCUGCGGGAGGACGCCGUGUACGUGGGCGCCGUCGCCGUCGUGCUCGCGCUCGUCAUGAUUUUGGGACUCGUCUUUUCCUGUGGACUUUUUGUGAAAAUAAAAUGAUUCUGGUCUGUGA